This 376-nucleotide ribosomal RNA is filed under the name uncultured eukaryote. RNAcentral's name for it is "partial 18S ribosomal RNA". It matches the Rfam family "Eukaryotic small subunit ribosomal RNA", at positions 592 to 976 of the family's 1831-position model. The record is from RNAcentral.
CAAGAGCGUAUAUUAAAGUUGCUGCGGUUAAAAAGCUCGUAGUUGGAUUUCAGUCUAGGAAGGUUAACUCGCCGAAAGGUUGUACGUUGAUUUUCCUCAGACUUCGUCAGAAGCUCGUGCUGCACUUAACUGUGUGGUACGAUGUUCUGACCUUUUACCUUGAGGAAAGUAGAGUGUUUCAGGCAGGCUACCCAGCUUGAAUACAUUAGCAUGGAAUAAUGAAAUGGAUCUCGGUUCGAUUUCGUUGGUUCUAGAGCUGAGGUGAUGAUCAAUAGGAACAGGCGAAGGUAUUCGUACUUGAGAGUGAGGAGUGAAAUCCGAUGAUCUCUUAAAGACGAUCCGAGGCGAAAGCAUUUGUCAAGGAUGUUUCCAUUGA